Molecule: ribosomal RNA, 458 nt
Filed under: uncultured marine bacterium
Lineage: Bacteria
Description: bacterial SSU rRNA
Rfam family: Bacterial small subunit ribosomal RNA
Source: RNAcentral
AGAGUUUGAUCAUGGCUCAGAUUGAACGCUGGCGGCAGGCCUAACACAUGCAAGUCGAGCGCGAAAACACUUCGGUGUGAGUAGAGCGGCGGACGGGUGAGUAAUGCUUGGGAAUCUGCCCAGUAGUGGGGGAUAACGUGUGGAAACGCACGCUAAUACCGCAUACGUCCUACGGGAGAAAGCAGGGGAUCUUCGGACCUUGCGCUAUUGGAUGAGCCCAAGUCAGAUUAGCUAGUUGGUGAGGUAAUGGCUCACCAAGGCGACGAUCUGUAGCUGGUCUGAGAGGAUGAUCAGCCACACUGGGACUGAGACACGGCCCAGACUCCUACGGGAGGCAGCAGUGGGGAAUAUUGCACAAUGGGCGAAAGCCUGAUGCAGCCAUGCCGCGUGUGUGAAGAAGGCUCUAGGGUUGUAAAGCACUUUCAGUGGGGAGGAAAAGUUUAAGAUUAAUACUCUUG